AGAGUUUGAUCCUGGCUCAGGACUAACGUUGGCGGUGUGUCUUAGACAUGCAAGUCGAGCGGAGUUUCGGUAGCAAUACUGGAACUUAGCGGCGAACGGGUGAGCAAUACAAGGGUAACCUGCCCUGAGGAUGGGUAUAGCCGCGAGAAAUCGCGGGUAAUCCCCAGUGUCGCGUCUCAGUCGCAAGACCAGGACGCGAAAGACGGAGCAAUCUGUCGCCUCUUGAGGGGCUCUUGUCCUAUCAGGCAGUUGGCGGGGUAACGGCCCACCAAACCUAUGACGGGUGGUCGGUGUGAGAGCAUGACCGGCCACAAGGGAACUGCGACACGGUCCCUACUCCUACGGGAGGCAGCAGUCUAGAAAAUUGGGCAAUGGGCGAAAGCCUGACCCAGCGACACCGCGUGCAGGAUGAAGGCCUUCGGGUUGUAAACUGCUGUCAGGCGGAACGAUGGUCAGCGCACUAACUAUGCGACGGCUGACGGUACUGCCAAAGGAAGCCCCGGCUAACUACGUGCCAGCAGCCGCGGUAAUACGUAGGGGGCAAGCGUUGUCCGGAAUUACUGGGCGUAAAGGGUGUGUAGGCGGUCUGGUAAGUCAGUGGUGAAAUCUCCGGGCUCAACUCGGAAACGGCCAUUGAUACUAUCGGACUUGAGGACAGAAGAGGAGGUUGGAACUUUCGGUGUAGCGGUAGAAUGCGUAGAUAUCGAAAGGAACGCCGAUAGCGAAGGCAAACCUCUGGGAUGUUUCUGACGCUGAAACACGAAAGCUGGGGGAGCAAACAGGAUUAGAUACCCUGGUAGUCCCAGCCCUAAACGAUGUACACUAGGUGUUGCUCGCAAGGGCAGUACCGUAGCUAACACGUUAAGUGUACCGCCUGGGGACUACGGCCGCAAGGUUGAAACUCAAAGGAAUUGACGGGGACCCGCACAAGCGGUGGAGGAUGUGGUUCAAUUCGAUGCUACGCGAAGAACCUUACCUGGGUUUGACAUGCUGAUGGUAGAAGCCGGAAACGGCGACGACUCGUAGUUUACUAUGGGAGUCAGCACAGGUGCUGCAUGGCUGUCGUCAGCUCGUGCCGUGAGGUGUAUGGUUAAGUCCCGCAACGAGCGCAACCCCUGUUGUUAGUUGCUAACCCGAAAGGGUGCACUCUAAGAAGACUGCCCGGGUCAACCGGGAGGAAGGUGGGGAUGACGUCAAGUCAUCAUGGCCUUUAUGCCCAGGGCUACACACGUCCUACAGUGGCCGUUACAAUGGGUUGCUACUCAGCAAUGAGAGGCUAAUCCCUUAAAAGCGGCCAUGGUUCGGAUCGCAGGCUGCAAUUCGCCUGCGUGAAGAUGGAAUCGCUAGUAAUCGCAGAUCAGCAUGCUGCGGUGAAUACGUUCCCGGGUCUUGUACACACCGCCCGUCACGCCAUGGAAGCCAGUAAUGCCUGAAGUCCUGAGCUUGCUCAGACCCAAGGCAGGACUGGUGACUGGGGCGAAGUCGGAACAAGGUA
This 1495-nucleotide ribosomal RNA is filed under the name metagenome. RNAcentral's name for it is "bacterial SSU rRNA". It matches the Rfam family "Bacterial small subunit ribosomal RNA". The record is from RNAcentral.